ACCAGACUCCUACGGGAGGCAGCAGUGGGGGAUAUUGCACAAUGGGGGGAACCCUGAUGCAGCGACGCCGCGUGGGUGAAGGAGUAUUUCGGUAUGUAAAGCCCUAUCGGCAGGGAAGAAGCAAGACGGUACCUGACUAAGAAGCCCCGGCUAACUACGUGCCAGCAGCCGCGGUAAUACGUAGGGGGCGAGCGUUAUCCGGAUUCACUGGGUGUAAAGGGAGCGUAGACGGCCAAGCAAGCCAGGGGUGAAAGCCCGGGGCCCAACCCCGGGACUGCCCUUGGAACUGCUUGGCUGGAGUGCGGGAGGGGCAGGCGGAAUUCCUGGUGUAGCGGUGAAAUGCGUAGAUAUCAGGAGGAACACCGGCGGCGAAGGCGGCCUGCUGGACCGCGACUGACGUUGAGGCUCGAGAGCGUGGGGAGCAAACAGGAUUAGAUACCCGUGUA
RNAcentral lists this ribosomal RNA (446 nucleotides) under uncultured bacterium. Its description in RNAcentral is "partial 16S ribosomal RNA". It matches the Rfam family "Bacterial small subunit ribosomal RNA", at positions 330 to 792 of the family's 1533-position model. The record is from RNAcentral.